AAAUUCCAUUAAAUAUAUUGCAAGAGCUCCUAGGUUAAGCUUGAUUUAAAUUUGCAUACAUUUUCAUAUAUUUAGCAGAAAUAAAAGAAGGCUUGCAGCUACCAGAAAGUCAUUAAGGCAUUAGUUUCUCUGAGAAGACAGAUCUGAAGAAAAUUCAAGAAAAUGAGAAAAUAGAUCUAAAUAAGGUGGAGUUGAAUACAUUGGUUAACUGCAAGCAGUAUGUUCUGAAGAUGAUGGUGUUCAGACAAAUACCCAAUUUGAUUCUGAUAAAUUGGAUGCAAGACUUUGACCAGCGUGAGAAGAACAGGCAUUAUGGAAGCAGGCAGCAUCCCAGACCUGUGGAGAAGCUCAGCAGGAGAACAAGUGGGGGAAAAUAUUCCCAAUGUCAUGCUGCUGCUGGUGGCUCAGGCACAGGAACAGGGGCCUGUGGUGGUCCAGCUCUUUGGAAAGUUUUGUACAGAAACCAGGAGGAUCUAAGAGCUGGAGCUAAUCCGUGAGAAAACAGCACCACCAGCAACAACAAUUUGCUCUAGACCAGAAAGAAGGUGGAAGAGGUGGGACUAAGAAGGACUUUCUCUUUCAAAAGAAGAAAUGUUGCUUUCCAGGCACCUGUAUGCUGAAAUUGAUUGAAAUGCAGUGUGAAUUGAAGAAAUAUUUGGAAACUGAGGUGGUUGUUACCUUUCUGUGCCUGGGUGUUCAAAGAGUGUUUCUGGCCAACACCUAAAAUUCAGUUUCCAAGGCCGGAGGCAGCAAAAGGCAAGUUUUGUAAAGACAAAAUGAGACCAAUGGAAAGAAAUUUCCUCCCAGCACAUUGGGAACCCUUCUCAACAAUAAAAACCACCAAAGGAACCACAAUGUUUGUGGAUUUUGUAGCUCCUUGUUCAGUCCAAAUACGAGGCAACCUUUCCCCUGGAUUUAUGGAGUUUAACACUGCAGGGAGUUUGGGAUCUUCACAAACUAUAACCAGAUUUUACUGGUGCCAAAUCUUUUGUGAUCCAAGCUCAUUUGUGGUGGGAAUGGGCUCAAGAUUUCAAAUCUGUGCCUCCGCCGGUUUUGACACCGUGCAAUGAAGCAUCCGAGCUCUCAGAUGUCUGGCUCUUCCGAGUUGUGAAAUGAGAAAACAAACAAACCCAACCAUUCCAGCCCUGUCAAUCUCCUUCUCAGUGGACAGAUGCCCUGGUGCCAGAAAAUCUUCAUCCCAUGAUCCCACACCUCUUGGCAGUGCCAAAAAAGCAAAAAAAAAAGCCAGAGAUCUACUGGAUGCAAAAGCGUGACGGUUCCUCACCUCAAAAAAGGGGAUUUGUGGCCACACUGGAGCUCCUGGGCUAAGAAUUUGCCAAGGGCAUCAACAGCAGUUUUCCCAGGCUCCAGCACAAGGAUUAUGUAGUCAAUCCACAAAUGACUCAAAUCUUUGAAGAAAAGGGCAUGGUUAUCAGAGAGGCUUUGAGGACAGCAAGGACGGGAGCGCUAUCUGCCUUUUUCCAUCAGAGAUUCCCAUUCCCUCUCAUUAACAUCCUCAGGACAUCAGCACAGCCAGCGGCCCCAGGGAAUCGCUUCCAACUUUUAAGGGGAUGUGCACAAGGCCUCGCCCCUGCGUUGUUUCAGACAGAUCAAACCAGAUUUGCCUCGUGGAAGGGUUCUUCAAUCCCACUGAGGAUGUGAUGUGAACGCACACACACUUGGUGUGGGGAAAGGAGAUGCCUCUACCUGCUCACUCCCAGUGCCCUGUAAUGAAAAAUGCUUUUGGAGCAACACUGGAAAUAAGCCAUCAAAAUAUCUGAUUAAACCUCUUAAGAAACUCUCACUAAUCACCUUCUCUGCUCUUGAUGGAAUGUAUUUAUGCAUUAUAAAUAUACUUACUGUGUGUGUGUGUGCUCCAUAAAUCACACCCAGCACUUGUAUAUGAUGUAUAAGCACAUUCUAUAGAACACACACAAAUACAGAUGCCAGGCUCCCACAGAGUUCAUCACUGGAAAAUGUUUGAAGGAUCUGAUCCUUAAUAUUUAAUGAGAAAGAUGCUAUUUCCUUCCUCAGCUUUUAUCUCUGGUUUGGCACAGUCAUUAAAUUUGUUGUUUCCUUGCAAGAUUAUAUAAUUUAUGACCUAAUUUUAGACUUUUGUGUAAUGGCGUUGAAACACUCGUGGCAUAUCCUGAUUUCUUCACACGGAGUGUUCCAGCCUCAGCCACCAGCUCCAGCACGACUUCUGUGAGCUGCCUGUCAGGCAGGAGUCGCAGGCAUGAAAGAAAAACAGCCCAACAAUAUUCAGGCAGCAUUAGAAGAUUAGUUUGUGGGGGGUUUGCCCUGCAAAAAAUAUGAUUUAGCAGCAUUUCCAAAGCCUUCUGCAGUGCUGGCAGGAAUCCCCAGGUAAGACAGGCAGCACCCAGCAACUUUAUUGCCGAAAAUAUUUUCAUGCUUCUGACUUUCAGACUCCUCUGGGACAGCAGUGCAGGAGGGAUGUCUAGAGGUGCUUUAAAGCCACUGCCAGCCCCUCACCCUCUGGAAUUUCCUCCCAGCACCAGCCUGGCUGCUGGGCUGAUUUUUUGCUGCACAAGGUGUUGCUGGAUAACUCCAAAAGGAAUUAUUCUAAAGCUGCAGCCACUUUAUUUUUUUGGUGUUUGCUGUGUGUCCAGAGUAAUUCAGAGAUGCUGCAAAUAGUGCCAUGAACUUCAGGUAUUCUGUCAAUUUUACCCAUAUUGUUGGGACCAGUCUUUCAUAAAAUUUAAUAUAUUAGCUGUUGCAUUAAUGCACUUUGAGAGGAUUUUAUCCUGGUGUUCCAUAGGGAAGUGGCUUGUGGUUGAGGAAGGAUUUGAUGUUUCCUUUGUGCCUGCAGUGCUAUUUGGAGGAGUUUUCCUCUUUUUCCACCUUAUCCUGAAUAUCCAACAGGGAUGGCAGAGCUGGGAUGCUGCAUCCUCAGAUCAGCACAGGAACACAAGGGACACCCCUCUACCACAACAACUUCAUGUACAGGGUGAGGGGGUGCCUACAUGAAAGAAAAAGCAUCCUCAUGAAAAGGGGACAUUCAUUCUUGGAUUAAAUAAAUUGGAGAGUUUUUCUCCUUGGUUUUAAUGGAACAGUUCCAGGAAAGAAGCAGAGAACAAAGUGUUUUCAGAAUCACAUAAUUCAAGAGUAAAAUCAUAAUUCCAAUUACCAUUGCAGGCACUUCUGGCCUUGGGAAACCUAUGCUAAUAUUUAUUAUUAUGUGAUUGACCUCUGAUUUCUUCAUCAUUUACAUUAGCAACCCUGAUAUUCUUAGUAACAUCCUUUAAAUCAUAGAAACAGGUGGCAACAGUGCACGAUGAAGUCACAUCCUGCAGAUUUUUUAUUUACUUAGUCCAUUUUUUCCUGGUUAAAUAACAUUGUGAGAUGCAGAAUCUCACCUCCACAAAGUCUCUAGGGGUGUGUAUAAUCGUGGAAUGCAUCUUCUAUAAUCUCACAAAAUCAGUCAAUCCUAUCAGAAGUACAAAGAGUUUUACAAAGUCAGUAUUUCACUGCCAUCACUGCCUGACAUUGUUUUCCACACAGUACAAGAAAAUAUUUACUUGACUCUUUGACAUGAAUUGCCACAAAGCCUUUGGAACGAAAAUGAAAUAGUGAGAAUUAAAAUGGAAUAACUUGACUUAAUUAAUUUAGCCUAUUUUCUGUGUGCUGCAUUUAGAUGUCAGAUGAUUUCUUAUAAUGUUUGGGAUGGAUAUGGACACCUCCAAUCCCUGUUAUUCAGUGAGGUGCCUACACACAGAACACAGAGCUGCCCAGAAUAUCCAAAGCUGGAAGCUGAUCCUCUUCUCCAUCAUCUAAAUAUUUUCUUUGCAUAAGAGCAUUUCUCUGGAUGAAUUAAGACACUGCAGUAAUUUUCCAGGUGUAAGUGAGGUUCCAAGGGCUGCCUGGGGCAUGUCACUGCCUUCAGCAGAGUGGAUAAAAUUGUAUUUAUCCACAAAGAGACUGAUUUUUUUUUCACUUUGUUAUGGGGAUGUGUCGAAAAGUUUAAAUUCUCUGUCUCCCUUAUCCACUGCUCAUCUUCCUGCCUUGGUGCUCCUCCUUGCAGAGAGCACAGCCAGGGGAUUUUCAGCACCUCCUCGGGAAAUGUUCCCCAUCUGUGGAGCUGGAAAAGUGGCACCCACCCGGGGAGGGCUGUCCUUGAUCAUCCUUGCCUCUCAUGCCUCAUUUUUUAAACUGAAAUUUAAUAUAUUAGCUAUUGCAUUAAUGCACUUUGAGAGGAUUUUAUCCUGGUGUUCCAUAGGGAAGUGGCUUGUGGUUGAGGAAGGAUUUGAUGUUUCCUUUGUGCCUGCAGUGCUACUUGGAGGAGUUUUCCUCUUUUUCCACCUUAUCCUGAAUAUCCAACAGGGACGGCAGAGUUGGGGUGCUGCAUCCUAUUAGAUUCCGCAGAACUUAGAUUCAGAAGAAAUUAGAUUAUUUUGAACUUACAUUGCCUUAAAAGGUUUGCCUUGACUCAGCAGGUGACAGGAUUUGGGAUGUUCCAGCCGGAUUUUGCAUCGUUUGGGAGAGAUUUCUAAGGUUUGUGAGCCUCAUCCAGCUGUCAGGGAGGUGAGUCCUCUUCCCCUCUCUGGACAGGUAGCCCUAAAACACGCUCUGAUUUCUGGAUGUCAGUGAGGGAAGGGUCAGAGCAGUCCCAGACCUGCUCCUGAAGGCUGUCAGAGUGCAAUAACCAUCAGCAGCCGCUGCAAAGACACAGUCCCAGCACCAAGCACCUGCAGGGAGGCUCCGAGGGCCAAAUCCCCCUCGGCUGCAAUCAGGAUUUUUCCUGCGCUCAGGGCGAUCCGCCUGCUCCUGGCUGAAGAGGCACUUCUAAUCCACUGCUAAGAGACUUAUUAGCAAUGUAAAAAAGAAUUGGAAGCAAGGAAAGUAUUCUUCCUGGCAGAAAUGUGCUUUGUAAAAUUAGCUUUGCUGACAGGAGUAAUUGGGUUAAACUCCUCGAGACUGUGGGUGCUAUUUGUUGCCCCUUAUCUUACCCAAGCAAAGGGUACCAAACUCUUUGAACUUUGUAAAUAAUUGUUUACGAAGUGCUGGAUUUUUUUUUUUCUCUCUAUAAAUUCUAGUAAAGAAAA
This 5063-nucleotide long non-coding RNA is filed under the name Taeniopygia guttata (zebra finch). RNAcentral's name for it is "lncRNA (ENSTGUG00000024255.1)". Lineage: Eukaryota; Metazoa; Chordata; Aves; Passeriformes; Estrildidae. The record is from RNAcentral.